RNAcentral lists this ribosomal RNA (482 nucleotides) under uncultured bacterium. RNAcentral describes it as "partial 16S ribosomal RNA". It matches the Rfam family "Bacterial small subunit ribosomal RNA", at positions 30 to 507 of the family's 1533-position model. The record is from RNAcentral.
AUUGAACGCUGGCGGCAUGCUUUACACAUGCAAGUCGAACGGUAACAGGCCGCAAGGUGCUGACGAGUGGCGAACGGGUGAGUAAUGCAUCGGAACGUUCCCAGUCGUGGGGGAUAACUACUCGAAAGAGUAGCUAAUACCGCAUACGAUCUAUGUAUGAACGCGGGGGACCGUACGGCCUCGCGCGAUUGGAUCGGCCGAUGUCAGAUUAGGUAGUUGGUGGGGUAAAGGCUCACCAAGCCAACGAUCUGUAGCUGGUCUGAUAGGACGACCAGCCACACUGGGACUGAGACACGGCCCAGACUCCUACGGGAGGCAGCAGUGGGGAAUUUUGGACAAUGGGCGCAAGCCGGAUACAGCAAUGCCGCGUGCAGGAAGAAGGACUUCGGGUUGUAAACUGAUUUUGUACGGAACGAAACGGCUCUGGUUAAUACCCGGGGCUAAUGACGGUACCGUAAGAAUAAGCACCGGCUAACUACGUG